RNAcentral lists this ribosomal RNA (322 nucleotides) under uncultured Sandona. Its description in RNAcentral is "partial small subunit ribosomal RNA". It matches the Rfam family "Eukaryotic small subunit ribosomal RNA", at positions 634 to 955 of the family's 1831-position model. Lineage: Eukaryota; Cercozoa; Glissomonadida. The record is from RNAcentral.
GAUUUCUGAACUAGUGUUUCUAGCCGGCCACGGUUUCGUGUGUUAGUGUUGGAACUACUGUUCAUCCUUUUACUCUCUCCUCUCUGAUCUUAACUGAUUGGCGGGUAGAGGUAAAUCUUUUACUUUGAACAAAUUAGCGCGUUUCAAGCAGGCUUUAUGCUAUGAAUACAUUAGCAUGGAAUAAUGAUUUAGGACUUCGGUUCUAUUUUGUUGGUUUCUAUUACUGAAGUAAUGAUUGAUAGGGACAGUUGGGGGUGCUAGUAUUCAGUGCGAAGAGGUGAAAUUCUUGGAUCCACUGAAGACUAACUUAAGCGAAAGCAUU